GCGAUCAUACCAGCAUUAAUGCACCGGAUCCCAUCAGAACUCCGCAGU
This 48-nucleotide ribosomal RNA is filed under the name Chenopodium giganteum. The record is from RNAcentral. Lineage: Eukaryota; Viridiplantae; Streptophyta; Magnoliopsida; Caryophyllales; Amaranthaceae.